RNAcentral lists this unclassified non-coding RNA (416 nucleotides) under soil metagenome. Its description in RNAcentral is "partial contains 5.8S ribosomal RNA, internal transcribed spacer 2, and large subunit ribosomal RNA". The stretch from base 1 to 120 matches the Rfam family "5.8S ribosomal RNA", at positions 35 to 154 of the family's 154-position model. The record is from RNAcentral.
GAUGAAGAACGCAGCGAAAUGCGAUAAGUAAUGUGAAUUGCAGAAUUCAGUGAAUCAUCGAAUCUUUGAACGCACCUUGCACUCCUUGGUAUUCCGAGGAGUACGCCUGUUCGAGUGUUAUGAAGCUCUCAAAACGCAAUUGGCUUAAAACCUGAUUGUUGUUUUGGAUUUGAACUUUGCCGUGUUAUAACGGCUGGUUUUAAAAGUAUUAGCUGGUACUAGAACGAAUUGGUUCUACUCAACGUGAUAAUUAUCUGAUCGUUGAGGACAUUCCUUUCACGAGGAAUGGCCAUAGUAAAUUCAAUGGACUGCUUCUAAUCUGGCUUUAAUUCUUUAUUGGAUUAACCACUUUUCAAAUCUGACCUCGAAUCAGGUGGGACUACCCGCUGAACUUAAGCAUAUCAAUACGCGGAGGA